RNAcentral lists this ribosomal RNA (433 nucleotides) under uncultured bacterium. RNAcentral's name for it is "partial 16S ribosomal RNA". It matches the Rfam family "Bacterial small subunit ribosomal RNA", at positions 29 to 507 of the family's 1533-position model. The record is from RNAcentral.
AACGAACGCUGGCGGCAUGCCUAACACAUGCAAGUCGAACGAGACCUUCGGGUCUAGUGGCGCACGGGUGCGUAACGCGUGGGAACCUGCCCUUAGGUUCGGAAUAACUCCCCGACAGGGGUGCUAAUACCGGAUAAUGUCUUCGGACCAAAGAUUUAUCGCCUUUGGAUGGGCCCGCGUUGGAUUAGCUAGUUGGUAGGGUAAAAGCCUACCAAGGCGACGAUCCAUAGCUGGUCUGAGAGGAUGAUCAGCCACACUGGGACUGAGACACGGCCCAGACUCCUACGGGAGGAAGCAGUGGGGAAUAUUGGACCAUGGGCGAAAGCCUGAUCCAGCAAUGCCGCGUGAGUGAUGAAGGCCUUAGGGUUGUAAAGCUCUUUUACCCGGGAUGAUAAUGACGGUACCGGGAGAAUAAGCGCCGGCUAACUCCGUG